This 253-nucleotide ribosomal RNA is filed under the name uncultured bacterium. RNAcentral's name for it is "partial 16S ribosomal RNA". It matches the Rfam family "Bacterial small subunit ribosomal RNA", at positions 524 to 776 of the family's 1533-position model. The record is from RNAcentral.
UACGGAGGGGGCUAGCGUUGUUCGGAAUUACUGGGCGUAAAGCGCACGUAGGCGGCUUUGUAAGUUAGAGGUGAAAGCCCGGGGCUCAACUCCGGAAUUGCCUUUAAGACUGCAUCGCUAGAAUUGUGGAGAGGUAAGUGGAAUUCCGAGUGUAGAGGUGAAAUUCGUAGAUAUUCGGAAGAACACCAGUGGCGAAGGCGACUUACUGGACACAUAUUGUCGCUGAGGUGCGAAAGCGUGGGGAGCAAACAGG